AAACCUAACUAAACCUAACAAUAAUUAAAAGAUAGUAAAGGAAAAUAACAACAAAAACGAAAAGAAAAGGGACAAAAUAAAUAGAUAAAGAAAAGAAAAGAAUGCACCUGGUUUGAAAAUGUGACUUGGCAUUAGACAUGGGGCAGGAUGCAAAGAAACACAGCGCAAGAGUGGCAGCCAUGGAAACCAGAAGACUAGGCCCUGAAAAAAUCCACCCACUUAACCAGCCCACGUGAUGGCAGACACCAUAAACAGAAGUUAGACGCCUGGAACACGUGCAAUACACAUGGGUGACUGAAACCUUAAAGCUCCAUUAUACAAAUUAAAACACACCCUAUUGCCAUCAUUUUUCCUUACUGAGAGCUAUCUCGAGCCCAGAGCCAACAGCUCCUUAUCUCUAACCUUCAUCCAUCUCUAUAGCCAUGCCACCAUAGCCAUUUUGUCCAAAAUCACGACUGAUGUUCGAACUACAACCUACCACCCACAAACUUCGAGUUUGAGAAAUGAAAACCGGGAACUCUAAAGCCAUACCCGCAACCCUAGAUCCAUCACAUUGCGCAGCCAGCACUGGGAUCUUUGUCCUCCAUGGCAGAUAAAAAUGCUCACUCUCCUUCUCAUGCAUGUGUAUCUUGUGCAGGACUUUCAAAUCCACCGCAGGAAACAACCCAAAUCAUAGAUCUUAAGGUUGAACGAAAGGAGCAGAUUCUAUGGAAAUUUCAAGGUCAUCAGGGGUUGUUUCCUCCUUUGGGCGUGAAUAAUAGGCAAAUGGCUCCUCGAUUCCUGCAUCAACCUCUUGAUCAUCAUAGCGUCUCCCACAGUUUACUGCUUGAAUUUGAAAUCCUUGAUUGGUUAUUUCUAUGUACAAUUCAGUUGAUUCCAACAAUUUAGAUAGUUUGUCUUCCACCUAAAGCUCUUGUGGCACAUUAAACUGCUCAAAAUAGUGCUUAAGAUGCUUUUGCAAA
Molecule: long non-coding RNA, 962 nt
Organism: Pyrus x bretschneideri (Chinese white pear)
Lineage: Eukaryota; Viridiplantae; Streptophyta; Magnoliopsida; Rosales; Rosaceae
Exons: 2
Source: RefSeq, a predicted model, not a curated record